CAGCCGCCACGGUAAUACGGAGGGUGCAAGCGUUAAUCGGAAUUACUGGGCGUAAAGCGCACGCAGGCGGUCUGUCAAGUCAGAUGUGAAAUCCCCGGGCUUAACCUGGGAACUGCAUUUGAAACUGUCAGGCUGGAGUCUUGUAGAGGGGGGUGGAAUUCCAGGUGUAGCGGUGAAAUGCGUAGAGAUCUGGAGGAAUACCGGUGGCGAAGGCGGCCCCCUGGACAAAGACUGACGCUCAGGUGCGAAAGCGUGGGGAGCAAACAGGAUUAGAGACCCGCGUAGUCCCUGUCUCUUAUAC
Molecule: ribosomal RNA, 301 nt
Filed under: uncultured bacterium
Lineage: Bacteria
Description: partial 16S ribosomal RNA
Rfam family: Bacterial small subunit ribosomal RNA
Source: RNAcentral